AAAUUACCUGUGAUAAGGCUAGUAGCAAUAUAAAAGUUUAAGAGAAUCAGCGGUUGGUGUGAGUUGAUACUGUAGUAUUGUGAAUCCACCUUGGAGGGACUGUUAACAUCAGUACGGUGAUACCGAUAUAAUCGUAGAGUGAAUCAAGUUACUUGAUUAAUUAGGGUGGCAACACGGAGUCUUUCGUCCCUUUA
This 194-nucleotide non-coding RNA is filed under the name Clostridium magnum. RNAcentral describes it as "T-box sequence". It matches the Rfam family "T-box leader". From Rfam's summary of the family: Uncharged tRNA acts as the effector for transcription antitermination of genes in the T-box leader family. T-boxes are found upstream of many aminoacyl-tRNA synthetase genes and some amino acid biosynthetic genes usually in Gram-positive bacteria. The record is from RNAcentral. Lineage: Bacteria; Bacillati; Bacillota; Clostridia; Eubacteriales; Clostridiaceae.